RNAcentral lists this ribosomal RNA (254 nucleotides) under uncultured bacterium. Its description in RNAcentral is "partial 16S ribosomal RNA". It matches the Rfam family "Bacterial small subunit ribosomal RNA", at positions 526 to 779 of the family's 1533-position model. The record is from RNAcentral.
CGUAGGGUGCGAGCGUUGUCCGGAAUUAUUGGGCGUAAAGAGCUCGUAGGCGGCCUGUCACGUCGGAUGUGAAAACCCGGGGCUCAACCCCGGGCCUGCAUCCGAUACGGGCAGGCUAGAGUAUGGUAGGGGAGAUCGGAAUUCCUGGUGUAGCGGUGAAAUGCGCAGAUAUCAGGAGGAACACCGGUGGCGAAGGCGGAUCUCUGGGCCAUUACUGACGCUGAGGAGCGAAAGCGUGGGGAGCGAACAGGAUU